RNAcentral lists this long non-coding RNA (4702 nucleotides) under Homo sapiens (human). Its description in RNAcentral is "HSALNT0265185". Lineage: Eukaryota; Metazoa; Chordata; Mammalia; Primates; Hominidae. The record is from RNAcentral.
UUUUCCAUAUCCUCAGGCAAUCUCACAGAUCACACAAUCCCACACAGGAGAAGACAGAUGCUGGGAUGGUGGAGGCCACUGGUUCCCACCACAGGUCACAGCUGAGUGCUGCGGGAAAGGCAAGAGGAGCCUCUGCGUGGGGGCACAGUGAAACGGCCAAGGAAGACUGCCUGUCAGGACUGCAUGCGGAAUGACGAGCUGCAUAUGGCGCGGAGGCCUUAGCAAGCAAAAGCUGGGUGUAGCCAUAUCCCUCUGGGCAAAGGCUGUUUUAGGAGAAGAUUUUAUUGGCCACCAAAAUGACUCAGUGACACCAGGCAGAGUCUUCUGGCAAAGGUUCUGCAAACUUAACAUAACGACUGUGUUGUAGAAGAAAAGCUACAGAAGUCUUUUUCAUUAGGUAAGUGGCAAUAAUAACCCUUUCCACGAGGGCAUCCAAGCAAUUGUGUGAAAGAUGAAAGUUUGCAGUUUUGUGCAGUAGCAGGAAUGGCAGUGGCAUCCUAAGACCGACUCAGACUAAUCUGGUUUAAGCUCCAAAUACGACCUACAUUAAAAGUGGCAGACUCUGAUGAAGCAUAGUGAGGAAUUUUCUCCCACUUGUUCUAAAUCCUGGAGCCUUGACAAUCCAGCCUAUCAUAAAGGAGGAAGUAUUUCUGACCAUAUCUUGGAGAAAUCAAAUGCUGUGUUUAUGCAGGGCUAACAAAUAAACAAAGACCUGUGCUCCCUCUGCUGGCUCUCUAUAGCAAUAUUGAAGCAGAAAGGAACCAUACGUAGUAUUGGCAUCUUCAGCAAACACAAGUCAGUUUGGGUAUUCCGAGAAGAACCACUCAUUUAACUUGGUUUUGAACAUUCUUUGAGAAAAAUCUAUCAACUUCUGACAAAGGCACUUGGAAAUUCUUAAAAUUAGAUAUUAAAUGAGACAUACCUGUAGCCCUUGGCUACCAGAUUGCUAGCUGUGACCGUAAUAGUGAUCUGGGGAUUGAUUGAUCAACAGACACAAGUGGAUUCCUCCAAAAUUUUUAGAUCCAGACACAAUCUUUAAGGCAGUUCUGAAAAAAAUCUCAGGUCCAAUGUAAAGUUCCUUUUUUUCUCUUUUAUAAGAGCAACUUCUAAAAAGCAAAGAUUUACACUAUUUAUAUCUUUUCUGAUAAUGUCAAACACUAGACUUGAUUUUCCAAAUCAUUAGCAUGCAGAAGAAUGACCUCAUGGUGAACAGAUGCACUUGGCUGUGAGCUGCAGUGAUUACAUCAGUCCCUCCCAGCAGUCGAGGGUGCCCAUUCCAGUUAACCCUUUCAAGGCCUCUCUGCCGGUCCCUCUUUCUUGGUGAUAUGAUUGAAAGCACAAAUUUAGUCCCCCACCCCAAUAUGUGUGUGUGUGUGAGAGAGAAAUGUAUAUGUGUAUAUAAAUGUAUUUAUACAUAAAACAUAUAUAUGUUAAUUGCAACCAAUAUUUUAAUACUGGCUACAUUUUAGAUUAUUUAAUGCUGGUCAAAAAAGGAAGGUAAACUAUAGUGCUAGGUAAAAAAGUAGUUGAAAUAUCUUUACAUGUCAGGUGUUAUCAAUACAAGUAAUGGAUGGAAUAGAUACAAGGUAGAUACGAUGGUCUUUAAAAAUAUUUUCUCAUUAGGAAAAUAGAUUUUGUUUUGAAAGCUCUUUGAAAAAUGCCGAGCGCUCAUAUAUUAGCAGCUACACCACCAUGUGUGGUUGACGGCGCAUCCUGAACGCAAGCCUGUUCACCUGGCCAACCCACCCCCGCAGGGCUUGUUGGGCGGAUGGGUAACAGCACCUGGAUGGGGAGAGUCAGAAGCAGAGGGCAUUUUCCAACAGUGGAAGCUUCAGGCACAGGCCAUUCCCACCGAGUGCAUCUCCCACUUUUACUUCAGACUUAAAGGCUGAUUUUGGGGCUUUCCCUCUAGAAGUGGGGGCUGCAUGCUGCUUUCUGGCUUGCUGCUACCAAUACAGUGCAGAAUGAAUGCAGUGUUCAGGUGAUGCUCCCUCUUCAUUAAUAAUAAAGUCCUGGUGGUGAGGAUACAAAGAAAACCUAGGAGCCCCUAAUUCCUCAGAUUGUGCAUACGCAUGUGAGCCCAAGCCCAAGGCCCUGCUUUGAUGACACUGAGGGCCAGAGAUGGUCUGAUUGGGUCCUAAGUGCACUGUGGGAGCUUAAGCCGCUCAGGGUCAAUUUUUCCAGUUGGCUUGUUGCUUGGAAGAACAGACUUCACCUCAAUUUCUUAGUUUAAGCUGGCUGGCUCAUCUGGGUUUGAUCGCCCUUGUCCCAAGAACAUAACAGUGUAAACAAAUGACAAAUGUUUUCAUCUGUAGAAGUAGUAACAGAUAGUGGACAGGGAUUCCUCAAAAGCGAAGCCAGUAUGUAAGCUAGAAGAUGCUUCCGAAAACGUGCUUGUCUAUGGUGCUGAAAUGCUCUGUCCUCAUUGUACUGCCCCACAUUUCAGUUCAAAUCAAGAUUAUAUCUAGUUCAUUCCUACUCAGCGUUAUGAGAAGAUAUGCAAAGAAUUAAAACAGAACAUUAUGCCUAGACUUAAAAAUCACACUUAAGGAUAGGCAUGAUAGACGUAUAAAAAUGUUUCCCACUCAACACUGAAUUCCUUAAACCAUGAACACUAUGAAAUGUAAUACUGAUGUUAAUAAUUUGAAAAGCGGAGGGAGUAGCAUUUGUCUUGAUAUUCCAUGUUUGGUUUCACGUUCCUUUUAGAAGAGUUCCAAUGCCCACCCUCACAUGCUGUCAGAAUCUUCAUUCUGCUAAGCAAUUUUCAAAAAUAUGACGUUCUUGAAGAAGCCUAUUGACAAUCCUCUCCAAGUAGAGUUCUUAAAAACUCAAAUUGCUCCUAGAAUCUCACUCAUUUCUAUUGGUUUAAAUAAUUAUGGAUGUUUGGAAAAGAUCAAAUUAGUUUAUACAGAGGCUAAAAUAUACAUAGAAAACAAAGUCCAUCAUUAUUCAUUUUGAUAAUAUCUUAAUAAUCUUAAGAAUGUAACAGUUAAGGAAUGAAAACAUCUAGUUAUUAUUUACGUGUUUAAUUUUAAGAAGUAAAAAGCUUUCUCAAGAGUUAAACAAACAAACAAAAAACAAAAAACAACCUGCACUGAAAAAUCAAGUCCUCACGAAGAGGGGAAUAAUCUCAUGAGGGUGGGAAAAAGCUGAAUGAGAUCUUUUUAAAAUUAGCUUUGCUACAGAUCCCUCAUGUUCUUUCACUGAAAAAUUAGAAACGAUUUAAAAUCUCUAGCCAGACCGAGUAUGAAAUCUUCAUUUCCCUUGAAACGAAUUUGUUUUUGUCUUAGAUAGAAUGUUGGCAGAGUGUAUAAAAGAAUUCAAUUCACAGCUGUUCCACUUUUUUAAUGUAAGAAACAUUAAUCAAAGCUUUAAGUUAUAAGCUUUUCUCAUGUUGCUUAGUAUUCCAGUUCAACAAAGAUCAAUAGAGGCCAUCCCAGUGUUCCUUGACGCCUCACCAGGAAGCAGAGGCGUGAUUAUGCAAAUCACGCUGCUCCUGCACCUCUGCCAGCCUGCUUAUCUCCCAAGCCUUCUGCCUGCUGCUCCUGGCUCCCUGCGCAAGUGCGUGCCUCUCCCUCUUAUCUCCCAACAAAGCUCUGAGAGGCAAGGAUUGAGGCCAGCGAUGUUAAACAAUGAUGCAUGGCUGAUUUUAUUUGUAAGUGAUUUAUUUCACUGGAUUUAAUUUUUUUUCACUUUGUGUAUAAGAUAUUUGUUAACAAGUCAGAAUAGGAGAAGUAAGGCAGUGUUCAGAGACAAUUGACACAGGUUAGAAAUCUAUUAAGCACUCUAACAGUUUCAUUUAAAGCAGUGGAAGAAGAAGGAAGCUCCUCACUGAGAAUCUCAACAUGCAUUGGCUAAAUAUCCCAUUUAUUCUCUGAAAGGCAAUUAAUCUGUAAUUAUAUGCAGAAAUUUACAAGUAAUAAUUCUAUUAUUUGAAAGAAACACACAGUAAUCACAUAAUCUGUUUAAGUGGCAAUACAUGUAUUUUUCCCCCCAAACUGGAAAUAUAAAAAGAAUAAAAACCUAAAAACAAGGAAAUCUAUGGAAACUUUCACAAUUUUCCACUGGCCCUAAUAAAUGAAAAUUAUUGUAAGCUAGUUUCUAAACGGGUUCCACACCAGGUGCUGCUCCGGUCGGCGGCUUGUCCACAUGACACAAACCACUCCAGAGAGACACGCACACUGCACUGCUGUAAUGAUGGACCCCGGGACACUGUCCUUCCAUGUCUCCUGCAUUAAUCCCUGACCUUCGAAUCUCGGCAGCAUAAUCCCCAUUUAGCAUUAGUAGCAACGGCUUCCACUGUGAGGAACUCUUUUUUGAUAAGUAAGCACUGAUUCGGGCAUCGCUUUUAAACAGCAUAUUCCCAGCUCAGCAAGAAACCCACACUCCUGAAUGAACCGGAGCACAUUACUGAGAAAAAGUUCAUUAACCUUGCUAGAUUUGAAGGUUAACAGGAUAGCUGAAGAAAGGAACUGAGUGAACAGCUCGAAUACAAAACAAAUUAAAAUGAAUGUCAUCAUUCCUUUUGAUAUUCAUUAGUUGAUUCAGAGGGAGAAUGCUCUUCUUAAAUUUGCAAAGCAUUUAUCUGUGAAAAACAGGUGUACAUCUGCUGCUCGAAUGCGUCUUAAGCGCGUGAGAGAAGAAUAAUGUAGACACUCACCCGUUCCGCUGAGGGAGUAGCUGGGAGAGGGAGAAAAGACUU